This 467-nucleotide ribosomal RNA is filed under the name uncultured bacterium. RNAcentral's name for it is "partial 16S ribosomal RNA". It matches the Rfam family "Bacterial small subunit ribosomal RNA", at positions 28 to 507 of the family's 1533-position model. The record is from RNAcentral.
GAUGAACGCUGGCGGCGUGCUUAACACAUGCAAGUCGAACGGAACGGCCCAAGCUUGCUUGGGUACUCGAGUGGCGAACGGGUGAGUAACACGUGGGUGAUCUGCCCUGCACUUCGGGAUAAGCCUGGGAAACUGGGUGUAAUACCGGAUAGGACUACAUUUUGUAGGGUGUGGUGGAAAGUUUUUCGGUGUGGGAUGAGCUCGCGGCCUAUCAGCGUGUUGGUGGGGUAAUGGCCUACCAAGGCGUCGACGGGUAGCCGGCCUGAGAGGGGGUACGGCCACAAUGGGACUGAGGUACGGGACAGAGUCCUAAGGGCGGCAGGAGGGGGGAAUAUUGCACAAUGGGCGCAAGCCUGAUGCAGCGACGCCGAGUGGGGGAUGACGGCUGUCGGGUUGUAGACUCCUAUGGCCAGGGACGAAGCGUGUUUGUGACGGUACCUGGAGAAGAAGCACCGGCUAACUACGUG